This 464-nucleotide ribosomal RNA is filed under the name Vreelandella stevensii. RNAcentral describes it as "partial 16S ribosomal RNA". It matches the Rfam family "Bacterial small subunit ribosomal RNA", at positions 338 to 795 of the family's 1533-position model. The record is from RNAcentral. Lineage: Bacteria; Pseudomonadati; Pseudomonadota; Gammaproteobacteria; Oceanospirillales; Halomonadaceae.
CCUACGGGGGCAGCAGUGGGGAAUAUUGGACAAUGGGCGAAAGCCUGAUCCAGCCAUGCCGCGUGUGUGAAGAAGGCCUUCGGGUUGUAAAGCACUUUCAGUGGGGAAGAAAGCCUUGGGGCUAAUACCCUCGAGGAAGGACAUCACCCACAGAAGAAGCACCGGCUAACUCCGUGCCAGCAGCCGCGGUAAUACGGAGGGUGCGAGCGUUAAUCGGAAUUACUGGGCGUAAAGCGCGCGUAGGCGGUCUGAUAAGCCGGUUGUGAAAGCCCCGGGCUCAACCUGGGAACGACAUCCGGAACUGUCAGGCUAGAGUGCAGGAGAGGAAGGUAGAAUUCCCGGUGUAGCGGUGAAAUGCGUAGAGAUCGGGAGGAAUACCAGUGGCGAAGGCGGCCUUCUGGACUGACACUGACGCUGAGGUGCGAAAGCGUGGGUAGCAAACAGGAUUAGAUACCCUAGUAGUC